Acanthaster planci (crown-of-thorns starfish) is the source of this 486-nucleotide long non-coding RNA. The record is from RefSeq and is a predicted model, not a curated record. NCBI's taxonomy places the organism in Eukaryota, Metazoa, Echinodermata, Asteroidea, Valvatida, Acanthasteridae.
GCAUUGAUGCCUGACUGUAGUGUGGCAUGAAUGAGUAUCCUGACUCGUCUACUUCUCUGCCUGCAGUACUAGUGAAUGUCUUGAUGCUGACACCAUAUAGCACCUGUUGGAAUCACAAAGCAUGGCACAGAAGCACACAGCAAGGCUCAGGGGAGGAAUCUUUCCAAGGACGGCGUGCAUGUGACCAAAGGGGUGAUUUUCCAUCAGCCUCUUCUGGAGGAAAAACAGUCCCAGUUUGUGCACAUGGGCAAAAAAAAGAGGUUUUAUCUAGAACUACAUGUUGGUGAACAGAACACUACUUGUAAGAUUCAGUUGCAUGUAGAUAGGGUGAGAAUUGGCACUUUUACGAGACAUGGAAGAAGUUGCAGGCAGGAAACCUGCAUGGAGAUGGGAAAAAGGAAGUUUUGCAUUCCUUGGAAAAUGAAUACUCAACAUUUGUUGUGAAAUGGUAUGAUUGUGUGUUCAGCUUUCCAGCAUGGGCUGUGG